RNAcentral lists this ribosomal RNA (253 nucleotides) under uncultured bacterium. Its description in RNAcentral is "partial 16S ribosomal RNA". It matches the Rfam family "Bacterial small subunit ribosomal RNA", at positions 524 to 776 of the family's 1533-position model. The record is from RNAcentral.
UACGUAGGGUGCGAGCGUUGCCCGGAUUUAUUGGGCGUAAAGGGCGCGUAGGCGGCCACGCACGUCCGUUGUGAAAUCGCCCGGCUCAACUGGGCGGGGUCAGCGGAUACGGUGUGGCUAGAGCAAGCUAGGGGGCAAUGGAAUUCCCGGUGUAGUGGUGGAAUGCGUAGAUAUCGGGAGGAACACCAGUGGCGAAGGCGGUUGCCUGGAGCUUUGCUGACGCUGAUGCGCGAAAGCGUGGGGAGCAAUCCGG